UACAGAGGGUGCGAGCGUUGUCCGGAAUCACUGGGCGUAAAGGGCGCGUAGGUGGCGCAACAAGUCAGUGGUGAAAGCUCGACGCUCAACGUCGAGUCGGCCACUGAGACUGUUGGGCUUGAGCACUGUAGAGGCUAAUGGAAUUCCGGGUGUAGCGGUGGAAUGCGUAGAGAUCCGGAAGAACACCGGUGGCGAAGGCGGUUAGCUGGGCAGUUGCUGACGCUGAGGCGCGACAGCGUGGGGAGCAAACAGG
This 253-nucleotide ribosomal RNA is filed under the name uncultured bacterium. RNAcentral describes it as "partial 16S ribosomal RNA". It matches the Rfam family "Bacterial small subunit ribosomal RNA", at positions 524 to 776 of the family's 1533-position model. The record is from RNAcentral.